GACGAACGCUGGCGGCGUGCUUAACACAUGCAAGUCGAACGGAAAGGCCCUGCUUUUGUGGGGUGCUCGAGUGGCGAACGGGUGAGUAACACGUGAGUAACCUGCCCUUGACUUUGGGAUAACUUCAGGAAACUGGGGCUAAUACCGGAUAGGAGCUCCUGCUGCAUGGUGGGGGUUGGAAAGUUUCGGCGGUUGGGGAUGGACUCGCGGCUUAUCAGCUUGUUGGUGGGGUAGUGGCUUACCAAGGCUUUGACGGGUAGCCGGCCUGAGAGGGUGACCGGCCACAUUGGGACUGAGAUACGGCCCAGACUCCUACGGGAGGCAGCAGUGGGGAAUAUUGCACAAUGGGCGGAAGCCUGAUGCAGCAACGCCGCGUGCGGGAUGACGGCCUUCGGGUUGUAAACCGCUUUCGCCUGUGACGAAGCGUGAGUGACGGUAAUGGGUAAAGAAGCACCGGCUAACUACGUGCCAGCAGCCGCGGUGAUACGUAAGGUGCGAGCGUUGUCCGGAUUUAUUGGGCGUAAAGGGCUCGUAGGUGGUUGAUCGCGUCGGAAGUGUAAUCUUGGGGCUUAACCCUGAGCGUGCUUUCGAUACGGGUUGACUUGAGGAAGGUAGGGGAGAAUGGAAUUCCUGGUGGAGCGGUGGAAUGCGCAGAUAUCAGGAGGAACACCAGUGGCGAAGGCGGUUCUCUGGGCCUUUCCUGACGCUGAGGAGCGAAAGCGUGGGGAGCGAACAGGCUUAGAUACCCUGGUAGUCCACGCUGUAAACGGUGGGUACUAGGUGUGGGGUCCAUUCCACGGGUUCCGUGCCGUAGCUAACGCUUUAAGUACCCCGCCUGGGGAGUACGGCCGCAAGGCUAAAACUCAAAGGAAUUGACGGGGCCCCGCACAAGCGGCGGAGCAUGCGGAUUAAUUCGAUGCAACGCGUAGAACCUUACCUGGGUUUGACAUGGAUCGGGAGCGCUCAGAGAUGGGUGUGCCUCUUUUGGGGUCGGUUCACAGGUGGUGCAUGGCUGUCGUCAGCUCGUGUCGUGAGAUGUUGGGUUAAGUCCCGCAACGAGCGCAACCCUUGUUCACUGUUGCCAGCACGUUAUGGUGGGGACUCAGUGGAGACCGCCGGGGUCAACUCGGAGGAAGGUGGGGAUGACGUCAAGUCAUCAUGCCCCUUAUGUCCAGGGCUUCACGCAUGCUACAAUGGCUGGUACAGAGAGUGGCGAGCCUGUGAGGGUGAGCGAAUCUCGGAAAGCCGGUCUCAGUUCGGAUUGGGGUCUGCAACUCGACCUCAUGAAGUCGGAGUCGCUAGUAAUCGCAGAUCAGCAACGCUGCGGUGAGUACGUUCCCGGG
RNAcentral lists this ribosomal RNA (1343 nucleotides) under uncultured bacterium. RNAcentral's name for it is "16S ribosomal RNA". It matches the Rfam family "Bacterial small subunit ribosomal RNA", at positions 28 to 1378 of the family's 1533-position model. The record is from RNAcentral.